Molecule: ribosomal RNA, 541 nt
Filed under: Metarhizium anisopliae
Lineage: Eukaryota; Fungi; Ascomycota; Sordariomycetes; Hypocreales; Clavicipitaceae
Description: eukaryotic LSU rRNA
Rfam family: 5.8S ribosomal RNA (bases 170-323)
Source: RNAcentral
UCUCCGUUGGUGAACCAGCGGAGGGAUCAUUACCGAGUUAUCCAACUCCCAACCCCUGUGAAUUAUACCUUUAAUUGUUGCUUCGGCGGGACUUCGCGCCCGCCGGGGACCCAAACCUUCUGAAUUUUUUAAUAAGUAUCUUCUGAGUGGUUAAAAAAAAAUGAAUCAAAACUUUCAACAACGGAUCUCUUGGUUCUGGCAUCGAUGAAGAACGCAGCGAAAUGCGAUAAGUAAUGUGAAUUGCAGAAUUCAGUGAAUCAUCGAAUCUUUGAACGCACAUUGCGCCCGUCAGUAUUCUGGCGGGCAUGCCUGUUCGAGCGUCAUUACGCCCCUCAAGUCCCCUGCGGACUUGGUGUUGGGGAUCGGCGAGGCUGGUUUUCCAGCACAGCCGUCCCUUAAAUUAAUUGGCGGUCUCGCCGUGGCCCUCCUCUGCGCAGUAGUAAAGCACUCGCAACAGGAGCCCGGCGCGGUCCACUGCCGUAAAACCCCCCAACUUUUUAUAGUUGACCUCGAAUCAGGUAGGACUACCCGCUGAACUUAA